RNAcentral lists this non-coding RNA (40 nucleotides) under Trypanosoma brucei brucei. The record is from RNAcentral. Lineage: Eukaryota; Euglenozoa; Kinetoplastea; Trypanosomatida; Trypanosomatidae.
AAUCACAAACAGAUAGAAGACAGAAGAGAUGUAUAGAUAU